This 253-nucleotide ribosomal RNA is filed under the name uncultured bacterium. Its description in RNAcentral is "partial 16S ribosomal RNA". It matches the Rfam family "Bacterial small subunit ribosomal RNA", at positions 524 to 776 of the family's 1533-position model. The record is from RNAcentral.
UACGUAGGGGGCAAGCGUUGUCCGGAAUCAUUGGGCGUAAAGCGCGUGUAGGCGGCCCAGUAAGUCCGCUCUGAAAGCCCGGGGCUUAACCCCGGGAGGCGGGUGGAUACUGCUGGGCUCGAGUCCGGAAGAGGCGAGUGGAAUUCCCGGUGUAGCGGUGAAAUGCGUUGAUAUCGGGAGGAAUACCCGUGGCGAAGGCGGUCCACUGGGCAUCAACUGACGCUGAGGCGCGAAAGCGUGGGUAGCAAACAGG